UGGGGAAUUUUGGACAAUGGGGGAAACCCUGAUCCAGCCAUCCCGCGUGUGCGAUGAAGGCCUUCGGGUUGUAAAGCACUUUUGGCAGGAAAGAAACGUCAUGGGUUAAUACCCCGUGAAACUGACGGUACCUGCAGAAUAAGCACCGGCUAACUACGUGCCAGCAGCCGCGGUAAUACGUAGGGUGCAAGCGUUAAUCGGAAUUACUGGGCGUAAAGCGUACGCAGGCGGUUCGGAAAGAAAGAUGUGAAAUCCCAGAGCUCAACUUUGGAACUGCAUUUUUAACUACCGGGCUAGAGUGUGUCAGAGGGAGGUGGAAUUCCGCGUGUAGCAGUGAAAUGCGUAGAUAUGCGGAGGAACACCGAUGGCGAAGGCAGCCUCCUGGGAUAACACUGACGCUCAUGCACGAAAGCGUGGGGAGCAAACAAG
Molecule: ribosomal RNA, 429 nt
Filed under: Acidobacteriota bacterium
Lineage: Bacteria; Pseudomonadati; Acidobacteriota
Description: Acidobacteria bacterium partial 16S ribosomal RNA
Rfam family: Bacterial small subunit ribosomal RNA
Source: RNAcentral